AGAGUUUGAUCCUGGCUCAGGACGAACGCUGGCGGCGUGCUUAACACAUGCAAGUCGAACGGAAAGGCCCUGCUUUUGUGGGGUGCUCGAGUGGCGAACGGGUGAGUAACACGUGAGUAACCUGCCCUUGACUUUGGGAUAACUUCAGGAAACUGGGGCUAAUACCGGAUAGGAGCUCCUGCUGCAUGGUGGGGGUUGGAAAGUUUCGGCGGUUGGGGAUGGACUCGCGGCUUAUCAGCUUGUUGGUGGGGUAGUGGCUUACCAAGGCUUUGACGGGUAGCCGGCCUGAGAGGGUGACCGGCCACAUUGGGACUGAGAUACGGCCCAGACUCCUACGGGAGGCAGCAGUGGGGAAUAUUGCACAAUGGGCGGAAGCCUGAUGCAGCAACGCCGCGUGCGGGAUGACGGCCUUCGGGUUGUAAACCGCUUUCGCCUGUGACGAAGCGUGAGUGACGGUAAUGGGUAAAGAAGCACCGGCUAAGUACGUGCCAGCAGCCGCGGUGAUACGUAGGGUGCGAGCGUUGUCCGGAUUUAUUGGGCGUAAAGGGCUCGUAGGUGGUUGAUCGCGUCGGAAGUGUAAUCUUGGGGCUUAACCCUGAGCGUGCUUUCGAUACGGGUUGACUUGAGGAAGGUAGGGGAGAAUGGAAUUCCUGGUGGAGCGGUGGAAUGCGCAGAUAUCAGGAGGAACACCAGUGGCGAAGGCGGUUCUCUGGGCCUUUCCUGACGCUGAGGAGCGAAAGCGUGGGGAGCGAACAGGCUUAGAUACCCUGGUAGUCCACGCUGUAAACGGUGGGUACUAGGUGUGGGGUCCAUUCCACGGGUUCCGUGCCGUAGCUAACGCUUUAAGUACCCCGCCUGGGGAGUACGGCCGCAAGGCUAAAACUCAAAGGAAUUGACGGGGCCCCGCACAAGCGGCGGAGCAUGCGGAUUAAUUCGAUGCAACGCGUAGAACCUUACCUGGGUUUGACAUGGAUCGGGAGCGCUCAGAGAUGGGUGUGCCUCUUUGG
RNAcentral lists this ribosomal RNA (1007 nucleotides) under uncultured bacterium. Its description in RNAcentral is "bacterial SSU rRNA". It matches the Rfam family "Bacterial small subunit ribosomal RNA", at positions 8 to 1023 of the family's 1533-position model. The record is from RNAcentral.